UUCAUCUCUCUACAUACCAAAUUUAGGGUUCCAAUUACAAACCUCUGUGUAGGAAAAAUCAGACAGUAACAUGUCUGCAGAUGAUCCGCGUGCGUGUUGCCAUAGCGACAAAUCGGAUGAUAAUGGUGGAAGCAUGAGGUAUGAAACGAUGUUGUAUCGGCUAUGUUCUUCUUCUGUAGUUAUUUGAAACGCAUAUGAAAUUGUUAUUGUUAUGCAUUACCAAACAUGUUCUCGUAUGGUUCAAUUUUCUACUCCUCCAAUUUUGUAAUAACACGAUAAUGUUUAAAUAUAAUCUGAGUUUUCCAGAUUCCAAAAAUAAAAUUUUAUUUUCGAUAUUAGGGUUCAAUUUGGGACGAUAACGGGUGAAGAAUGAGGUGUGAAGCAGAUAUGAUUUUAUCGUUAUUCUUCUACUGUAAUGUUUUUUUGCACAACUGAUAUUGAAUUUGUCUCAUCUAACCGAUUCAUGUUCAUUUAGGAUUCGCUUUCUACUCAAUUUGAUUGCCAAAAAUAUGAAUAUGUUCUUAUGAAAUUUGAGCAAUUCUAUAUCCCAAUUUGUAGUUGAAUUUUCAAAUUUAGAAUUUCAGUUAUUUUACUCAAUAAAUCAGUUAAUUACAUCUUAAAUAGAGUGAUACUUAUAAGAAAUUGUAUAUGUUUUAAAUGUUGACAAUAGAUGUUGAUGAUAGAAUAUGAUUAUGGAUGCUGGUAAUUGAUGUAAAACUUUUAAGAAGUUGUAGAGAUUAUUCAUGCUGAUUAUAUAUGUUGCUUGUAGAUAUUAUAAUUUAUGAUUAUACAUGUUGAUUAUAAAUGUUGGUCUGUAAAGAUUAUAUAUUAGAAUUUAUAAUUCGGUAUUAAUAUCACAUUGCUGAUGUCAUUUAUAAUUUUUGAAUUUCAACAAUGAAACUGCAAUGGAGAUCAUCAGAGGUAUGGUGUCUGAGAUUGGUGAAUGUUCAGUUAAGAGAAAGAAGUGUGUGAAGAAAUGUCGUACUAGUAAUAUCCCUGCUAUAAAACUGCGAAUAUCGCUCAACUUACCAAUGUUGCUGCUGCUGUAAAUCAACCCACAAAUAAUGGAAAACUGACAUUCAGUAUAUUAAGGAAGAAGUUGUUGAUACUGCAAAUGCUAAAAGAUUUAUGAUGGACAAAGAAACGCAUGUCGAAAAGUGUGUUGCAAAGAAAAAACAUGUUGGCAAUAAGAAAUUGGUGGAUAAGAAAGAUGUUAAUAGAUUUAUGAAGGAGAAGAAAAUGCAUGUUGAAAAGUGUGUUGAAAAGAAAAAAUAUGUUGGCAAGAAGAAAUCUGUUGGAAAAUCUGUGGAUAAGAAAGGUAAACAAAAAUUUGUAGAGAACGCAUGAGUCUUAAAUUAAGUUACUGAAGAAUUGGUCAUGUGGGCUAAGCAAUAUUCUUGGAAGAGCCACAUAGGAAAUGAAAAAACAUGCGCAGCUAAUGUUAUAGUAAGCACAUAUUUGAAUUUGAUCUAUUGUGUUAUAUUUCAAGGGUUUAUAACUUGUAGUGUUGUGCAAUUGAUAUCUAUGUAGCAUUUUCCAAGAACAAUAACAAAAAUAUGCCUUAGAACACGUUGAUGUAGAAGAAACCGAAAUAUUUAAAUGUCGGGUUCACACUGCAAAAAUAGAGAACGAACUAAGAGCCUAUGAAAAUGUCUUUAGGAUGGUAUGAAUUUGCAAAGAGCAAAAACCUAUGUGAUGGCGAUACCUUAGUCUGGAGUAUGUUGCAUUUUUCUCCCAACGUGUAUGUAAAAUUACAGAGGAGUUGAUGGGCAGUUGUAAUAUCGAAUUUUGAGUAUAUGAUCAUCAUGACAUGGAGUUCUAACCUGCUGUGGAUCGUGUUUUAUAGUUUAUAUAUAUAUAUAUAUAAACUUUGAUGUAAUUUUGGAAUGCCUGAACCAAAUUAUAAUUAGUACCUUAAUGAUAUUGAUAUUUAUGUAUUCUGAUAGUAAACUUGGUAAUUUUAAUGUAGAAGUUGCAUUAUGUGUUUCAUUUCAUGUAAAUAUGUAUUUUACAUGUUACAUUUAUAAUUUUGGUGAUUUGAAGUUUAACAAACAAAAAAUUUAAAUGAGUUAGUUUGGCAAACAGACAAUACAUAUGUUAUCACCUAUAAAUAUAUCAAUACAUAUUGCAUAUGAUGUCUGUUAUAGAACUGUUUUUAAGGGGUACUGUAUUUCUCAAACUCAUUAGUUGAGCCUGCAGCUGAAAUCCAUGUCUAAGCUCGUUUACAUUUUUCUAUAUAAUGUAAGGAUUAAGGUAUUCAUGUCAUCACUUUUCUAUCAUUGGAACUAUAGAAAGGAAGCUAUGUUUGACAACAUCUCUGAAAUGUAUGCUUCUGGCAGGUAUGUAUGACUUUCAUGUCAUCAAUCUUCUAUCAUUAGAACUAAGAUUGAUUUUUUCUGAAAAUUCACCUGUUACAAAUAUCUUACUCCAAUUAAUCAUAGUUGAAAUUUAAUUUUAUUUGUAAUUAUAGUAAAUCGAAUUAUUAAUGUUAUUACAACUAUAGUAAUGAAGACAUGUGGGCACAUGUAUUCAAGUGAUGAGGAUACAAAAAUUGAAGCUCUAAUAAAGGAGGGUUGGAUUAAUGAGUCCGAAAAAACAUGUGAUGUUAGCAACAAUUGCAAGUGGGAUUAUACCGUGACGGAAGGAAAUAAGUAUGGGAAAUAUAUGUUGCAUAUCCCAAUGAACAUGUCAAAGUAAUAUUUUGGUGAAAAGCAGGAUGUGAUAAAGAUGAUCGAUAUUGAAGAUUGGAAGGUUAUAAUUGUAUUAUUCACAGAGCACGACAAGAUUCAUAUGAGAAGAAUAUUGUCCAUGAAUGGUACGAAUUUUCCAAAGAGAGGAAGCUUGAAGUCGGGGAUGUGUUAUAUUUUAGCAUGAGUCCUAUGGCAAGUUAUAUGCUUGUUAAUGUAAUAAGGGGUUGAUUUAUGUUGUUCCAUUUGAAAUAUUUCAAUGCAAGUAACUAUUCCGAGAGAAUUUUAGCUUCAAAGUUGUUAUAAGUACAAAUUGUUAUUGUAUUGAUCAGUAUAAGCAACUCAUUUGUUUUGAUGCAACAGUAGUAUGCAAUGUGAUAUGGUUUAGUUGCUGAUGUU
Molecule: long non-coding RNA, 3086 nt
Organism: Lathyrus oleraceus (garden pea)
Lineage: Eukaryota; Viridiplantae; Streptophyta; Magnoliopsida; Fabales; Fabaceae
Exons: 3
Source: RefSeq, a predicted model, not a curated record